Molecule: transfer RNA, 69 nt
Filed under: Parachanna insignis
Lineage: Eukaryota; Metazoa; Chordata; Actinopteri; Anabantiformes; Channidae
Source: RNAcentral
AAGGACUUAGGAUUACUAGACCUAGGGCCUUCAAAGCCCUCAGCGGGAGUGAAAGCCUCUCAGCCCUUG